GGCUGGUGGAUGCUGUUUCGUCGCGUGUCCAAGAUGCCAUGAAAUUUAACAGAUCGGGCAGUGACACGCGGUGAUGAGGCGGCUAGUGGUAGAGGACAAACAAUAGUUCAACCGUCACAUUCAGUUAACGAUACUGACAUACGAAAAUGAUGGAAUUCGUCAUCCUAAUGCAGCACGCAGGUUCUUAUUUUUUUUUUUAAGACACGGGCUUAUUCAGGUUAGAGGUGCAAGUGACUGAUGCAUGGCCAAAAAUAAAAAAAAUACUGUCUAAAAAUCGCCU
RNAcentral lists this long non-coding RNA (280 nucleotides) under Sorghum bicolor (sorghum). Its description in RNAcentral is "long non-coding RNA (SBIC_LNC003448)". The record is from RNAcentral. Lineage: Eukaryota; Viridiplantae; Streptophyta; Magnoliopsida; Poales; Poaceae.